CAAAAGGCCCUUUUCAGGGCCACUAUACCAUUCCAAAAAAGAGUUA
Molecule: non-coding RNA, 46 nt
Organism: Aedes albopictus (Asian tiger mosquito)
Lineage: Eukaryota; Metazoa; Arthropoda; Insecta; Diptera; Culicidae
Source: Rfam